GACGAACGCUGGCGGCGUGCUUAACACAUGCAAGUCGAACGAUGAAGCCGGAGCUUGCUCCGGUGGAUUAGUGGCGAACGGGUGAGUAACACGUGAGCAAUCUGCCCUUGACUCUGGGAUAACUGCGGGAAACUGUAGCUAAUACCGGAUACGACACCUUGGGGCAUCCCAGGGGGUGGAAAGAAUUUCGGUCAAGGAUGAGCUCGCGGCCUAUCAGCUAGUUGGUGAGGUAAUGGCUCACCAAGGCGACGACGGGUAGCCGGCCUGAGAGGGUGACCGACCACACUGGACCUGAGACACGGUCCAGACUCCUACGGGAGGCAGCAGUGGGGAAUAUUGCACAAUGGGCGAAAGCCUGAUGCAGCAACGCCGCGUGAGGGAUGAAGGCCUUCGGGUUGUAAACCUCUUUUAGCAGGGAAGAAGCGAAAGUGACGGUACCUGCAGAAAAAGCACCGGCUAACUACGUGCCAGCCGCCGCAGUAA
Molecule: ribosomal RNA, 483 nt
Filed under: uncultured bacterium
Lineage: Bacteria
Description: partial 16S ribosomal RNA
Rfam family: Bacterial small subunit ribosomal RNA
Source: RNAcentral